AACGACCGGUCGGGCACCUGUGUGUCCGACCCUCAAGUGGAGGCUCCGAUCUCCCACCUGGUCGACCGUUCAGGUCGACGGGUUCCGGUCAGACGGUACGGCUCAGCACCGCUGAUGCACCACCGUCCGAUGCGCCCCGCGGAAUAACGCGGCGGUGCUCCCGGUUGUGAGGAGCCCCGCCUGUGUCCCGUAUGGGGCGUUUUUC
Molecule: non-coding RNA, 205 nt
Filed under: Actinacidiphila rubida
Lineage: Bacteria; Bacillati; Actinomycetota; Actinomycetes; Kitasatosporales; Streptomycetaceae
Description: Streptomyces rubidus Streptomyces RNA 1601
Rfam family: Streptomyces RNA 1601
About the family: Identified by deep sequencing of transcriptome at the end of exponential growth phase. Appears longer on northern blot than sequencing transcript.
Source: Rfam by way of RNAcentral